GGUUUUCUGCUCACCCCUAGUUUAAACUAGGGGUGCAAACGAGCCGAGCGGCUCGCAAGCUACUCAAGAUCGGCUCGAGAAAAAGCUCGAAACAAGCCGAGCUUGAGCCUCAAGACAAAGCUCGUUUGUUUAUCGAGCCCGAGCUCGAGCCUCACAUGUGAAGCUCGUUAGGCUCGUCGAGCCUUAUCGAGUCUUAGUGUAAAAGAUCCGAGUCGAGCCGAGUUAUUUAAACUUGUUUACAAGCCAACCUCGAACCUAAAAAUAAGCUUAUUUAGUAAACGAGCCCGAGCUUGCAAGCCUAAAAAGUCUAUUAUUUAUAUUAUUUUUAUUUAAUAUUCUAACUAAUAGAUAAUAAACGAGCCGAGCCCGAGCCGAGCUUGAGCUUGAUAAAAUACAAACGAGCCGAGCUCGAGCUUUGAAAACAAAGCUCGAAUCGAGCCGAGCUCGAGCUCGAGCCUGGCCGAGGCUCAGCUCGGCUCGUUUGCACCCCUAGUUUAAACUGUGAAUGGCUGGAAAGUAGAACAAAACCAAAUACAGUUUUCGAUCUAGAAUUAUAACAAAACAUAAUAGGAACAUACGAUGAUACCUAAUCAUUGCAUGCUACAUCCUCCAGAGUCUUGUCCUUUGCAAACAUUGCCAUAUGCUGACAAUUCACGAAGAUUAAUGUCACGCCCUCUCGUUUCUUCAUAAAAUCACAAGAGUGUUUUUGAUAUAAUGUACGAUUGAGAAACGAUAUUUGUUAACUUGUUGAUACUGUACCUGAAACUCUGAAGUAAGAGCUUUUCUGAAUAAGAGAGACAACAGUUGCGCAACGUUAUUCAUGUUUAAAAAUGUAUAAACAGUUGCGCAAAGAAACCGUCUUGGGCCUAUUAGUCUUAUAAGAGAGACAACAGUUGCGCAACGUUAUUCAUGUUUAAAAAUGUAUAAACUGAGGAUUAAAAAGACUCCAUUAAUUCAUCCAACAAAAAUUAUAAGAAGGAAAUUUAUAAAUGUGGAUUCACCAUGUAUUAUGCAAUCUUCAUAAUGCUAAAAGUAAGCAAACAAGAAGACCUUUACAUGAGUGUUGCGAUGUUAAGCUGAGCAAUUAUAUGGUUAAAUGAUUACAUAUGCCUUUAGAGAAUGAACAGUUUCGUCAUUAUACCGAUGCAGACUAUUAGAGCAUACACAUAGUCAGUUAUUUUGAUAGUUAGUGGUUAGAUUUUCUGUUAUGGUUAGCUCAUAUCAGUUAGGUUAACGGAUUGGGUUCGGGUCUGGUCGGUUGGUGGGUUGACCCGUUUAACACAUUUAUAUUGUAUUAUAUUUUUUACAAUAUAUUUUAUGUCAUAAACUAAAUGGAAUGUGUAUUGUAUGCCAUAAUUAUAACUUAAAAAGAGAAGUUAACAUAAAAUUUUAUAAUUUAAAUAUAAUUGUAUUAUAAACAUUUGUGUUUUUUAAGUAAAUUUUAAUAUAUUAGUUUCAGAAAAAAAAUAAAAAAAUCGGGUUGAGCGGGUCAUGAUUGGGUCAACCCACGAAACUUCAGGUCGUGUUCUGGUUCAUAUGUAUGAUACGAUUUUGGGUUUGGGUCGGGUUGAACUCGCAAACACAAGCUGUUUAGCAUCCCUCAGAUGAUUUUAACAACAAACUUUUGUAGUUGGAAGCAAAAACAUGAUAUGAAUGAACUUAUUAAGACUAUCAGUUUGUGUGAUCAGAUAGCGAUAACUCAAUCAAACCCCAAAGGGGCAAAGACAUAAAACACCUCCUGAAGCAAAUGAAAAAUGGUACAGGGAAACUUGAGAUAAGUAAGCAAAUAAAAAACUCAUUUUCAACCCAAUAAAAAAUGCAGGAAGUGAUUCAUUCAUUAUGUUGAUUAGUCCAUUAACAUAAUGUAAGUAAAAUUUGAACAUGCUUCUGUUAAAAAAAUCCACAUGUUUAUGGUCAAACAAUUUAGAUUAGGUCAUCAAAAAUUACAAAAUCAGCCGACUUUCUUCAGUUAACAACUUAUGAUUUGACUCUCGGAUUUGUAGAAAAAAUGAUUAUAAUAUUCGUAACUCGUAAGAAAAUGAAAGCGAAGACUGAUAUGAAUUUCGAUGUAAUAAAAUUGAAGUGUUUUUGCAAAAGUAAAUUACCUUAGUGUGGAGUAGGAGUAGUCACGAGAGAGACAACCACAACAAUGGUGUUGCUGAGCGGAUAUCCAUUGAUUUUCUCUGCUUCAAAGUGUCUGUUUGAUUCGUCUUGUUUGCGUGGUAGUUUCGUGCCCUAGUCGUUGUUUUUGACUU
Molecule: long non-coding RNA, 2255 nt
Filed under: Helianthus annuus (common sunflower)
Lineage: Eukaryota; Viridiplantae; Streptophyta; Magnoliopsida; Asterales; Asteraceae
Description: hypothetical non coding rna
Source: RNAcentral